This is a long non-coding RNA of Lolium rigidum, 289 nucleotides long. RefSeq lists it as uncharacterized. NCBI's taxonomy places the organism in Eukaryota, Viridiplantae, Streptophyta, Magnoliopsida, Poales, Poaceae. The record is from RefSeq and is a predicted model, not a curated record. The transcript has 3 exons.
CAUGAGUUCUUGCGAUGUCAUGGAUCAUGUAAUUACUGUCAAGAAUGCUGCCAUUCGCUGAUUGCAACUAAAUGUACAGAUGAAAGGCCCUUUUGUUUUAAUGCUAUUGAUGCAUCGCAAGUUGGUGAAACUGAUUUGUCUAGCUGGAUGCAAAAUUAGGAUUGAGUUUUACCCGUGCUGUUCUCGUUGCUCCUGUCAAGGUUUGCUUCUGCUUGCCUGUGUAAAGUGUAUGCUUGCCUGUGUCACACCAGAAGCGGGAUUUUUUCUUGUUUGACUUUGUGUUCUUGAC